Molecule: long non-coding RNA, 6326 nt
Filed under: Solanum tuberosum (potato)
Lineage: Eukaryota; Viridiplantae; Streptophyta; Magnoliopsida; Solanales; Solanaceae
Description: long non-coding RNA (STUB_LNC002319)
Source: RNAcentral
UGAUAACACAUCAAAAUAUAAAAGCAAACUCACAAAUAUAAUAAACCUCUUAAAAAUAGUACGAAGUAUCAAUUUCAUACAGGAAGUAAAACAUUAAAAUCGCCAUAAUCUCAAACACAAUUCUACUUAUAAGGCAAAAUGUGAUAAUAUUCCUGCCAUCUUUGAGAAAAAAAAUGAAAAGUUCUUUUCUUGAAAAUUUCUAAUGGCUGCUUUAUGAUGGAGUAAGGACUAGAGAGUAAUAGUAGUAUGAGUGGUCAUAUUACACUGAUCUUCAGUGGGUGUUUACACCAGAUUAUAAUGCCUCUCAAACACUGCUGUCUGGCGGACAGUCCUCAACGACUCUUCGUAAGGUCUAGCUGAUCGAACUAUCAGAAAAUCCAGAGUCAGCUAAUGAUUUUAACAUCAUCAUACAUGCAACAAUAAACUGUUGCCUUUCAUGCUUAUAAUUACAUUGAAACGUAACCGUAUAUGUUAAUAAUUUCCAUAAAACAUAAUGUUUACAAUUUAAUAAGAUGAGUGGUUGCUUCCUCUCUAAGAUGUUUUCACCUUAAGUACUCACAUGUACUGAAAGAUUCGUGUAAGCCCAAAUUAAAACCGAUUGAAGACAUCACUAUUGAAACUCUUUCUUAAUUUUUUACCAUUGCCUUUUCUCAAAAUCUUAAAGUUUGAUUAACUUAAUAAUUAAGAUUUAUUUUUAUAUUUUCGAUCUCUAUUAAGUGAAUUAUUAGAUAUAAAACACUCUCAAGAAAACUACUAAAGAAAUUGUGAAUAUUUUAACCAAAUGAAAUAGUAAAAAAGACUUAUUUAUAAUGAAAUGUUAUGAGUAGUAGAAAAGACUCAAUUAAAAAAUAGAUAUUAGGAAUAGUAGAAAAGACUCAAUUUAUUAUGAGAUGUUAGGAGUAGUAGAAAAGACCCAAUUUAUAUAUGAGAUAUUUUUAUUUUUUUAAACAAAAUUAUUGUACUAUUUAAUUAAUUAGAUUAUGUAUAAUAUUUUGAUUUAGUGUAGGAAUAAAAUGAUAGCAUUUUAGUGCUUUUCACUUUUAGUAUAAAAUAUGAUAUGAUGAUUAACAUUUAUAUAUAUACUAGUAAAGAAAGCCCGGGCGCUGCUCGGGCCCAACAUUAAUAAAGUUAUAUUAUUACUCUCUCCGUCCCAUAUUAGAUGAGAAUCUUACUAAAAAUAUUAUUUUCAUAUUAUUUGAGCACUUAUUAAAUUAGGAUAAAAUUAAUUAAUUCUUUUCCAUUUUACCCCUACAAUUAAUAUGACCAUUCCUAUAUUGUAUGUGUAUUUUUUGUAACUCAUUUCAAUGUGCAUUGAUAUAAACAAAGGGCAAAAUGGUGAAGUCUUCCAAUGUAUUAAUGAUUUCUUAAUCACCGUGUAAAGUUGGAAGUGUCCAUCUAAUAUGGGACGGAGGGAGUAUAGUUUAUGUAUUGUUAUAAAAUCAGUAAAGAUUGUUAUAAUAUAUUUUGCUCAUAAGUGAGCUAUUAUAGAAACUUAUUUGUGAUUUGUCUUUUUAAUUUCAAUUUUAAAUAGCAAAUAAAUGUAGCGAUAAGAUUGAGGGUAGAAAUGAAGCAUAUCUUUCUAAAUUUAAGUAAAAAUAAACAGAGUAGAAGUAACAUUAGGGUUAUCGAUAGGACGAUUCAUUCGGUUAUUUUAAAAAAAAUUAUAUCAUUCAAUUUUUCGGCUAUUUUAUAAUGUAUAACCAAAAUUAAAAUUUUAAAAUCAUCCCAAUCCUAAUAUAUGUGACACAAGCAGUACAAAAAUUAGUCUUUUUUUUGUUGUCUUGUAGAUAUUUUAAGUUAUUAUUUAUUGUAAAUUAUAGUACUUUUUAUUAAAGUUUUUAAUAACAUAUGUUACUUUUUAUGUUUGAGAGUUAAACCAACUUUUUUUAUAUGUCUUUUAAUCUUAUAUGUGUUUUGUCCUUUUCCAUUUUCAAAAAUUAAUACUCUCUCUAUUUUAUUUUAUAUGUCAUUUCUUUUUAUAAAUAUAUUGGUUAUUCCCUCUUCUUAUUGGAACACAUGUUGACUUGUGGUGAAUACUUAUUCCCUCUUCUUAUAUAGUAAUAUAUAUUAAGAUGAGUAAUCAUAUGUACUAAAGCUUCAUGUAAGUAGAGGUGGAUCGGAGAAUUAAAUUAAUGAAUUCAAGCUUUUAAAAUUUUCAGUGUCGAAAUUAUUACACUGUUAAAUUAUUAGUUCUAAUCUAAUACCUGAUAAGAUUUUAAUAAGUUAUUAUAAUGAAAGUUACGUCCGUAUUUUAGAUUUUUGUUAGUAACAAUAAUAUUAGUGUUCUUGCAAUAGACAGUUAAGAAAUUAAAUUAAGAUAAGCUUUGAUAAUAUUUACUUUCAGCGUGUGCUUUCUCAAACAUGCAUGCGGCACUCCACAGUACCAAGGACAGAGAGAUAGGAGUGCAAGGGUGUUUAUCUUAAUAUUAAAAAUUACAAUGAAUAUAUAAACAUUAUAUUUUGAAUCUCACUUUAAUUAAAAAAAUAUUUUAAAUUUCUUUAAUGAAAAUCUUGACUCUUUUCACAGUACACUCUAAAAAGGAUGGUUGUUUGGUACGCGGGAUAAUGUGGGAUAUUUAAAUUUGGGAUUAAAUUAAUUUAUAUUGUAUUUAGUUGACGUUAUAAAUUUAUCCCUGAAUAUCAGACCCUUACCCAAUCAAACUUAUAAUUAUUUUAUGGAUAAACUAGUACAUGAAUUAUAAUUGCGAAAUAACUUGGUCCGUGUACUAAUCGAAUAGCAAGUUCAUCAAAGUAGACCCUGCUACUCCAAUGCAUAGGUAUGUAAAGAAGACAAAGUAAAACAUUGUUUUAUGAAGUAAAAAAAUCCGGAGGAAGACGAAAUGCACUGUAAGGAAAAAUAAAUGACACAUCACACAAGGAAUAUAAAAUUAGUAGAAAAGGCAUACAUUAUAAAUAGUAGUAGUUGUCUUAGAUAGCAAAUAUAUUACAUAUAGUCAAGUAAGUAUCAUGAGGAAAAAAAUAGUCAAGGAUGACAGCAUUAAAAGGCAUGGUGUUUACAAGAAUUUAAAUAAAAGUAGUAACAAAUUGUAGGCUGCAAGUUUUACCAAAAAAAGAGAAAAAAUGUGUUGCCAUAUUAGAUAUGUCUUUAGACUAGAUAGGAGGAGUAUUGUCAAGUGUGGCAACCGCUACUAUAGUAUAGUAUUAUAAAGGAUUUUAAUCGUACGUGAAAGAUGGCUGUCUCACAAUUCAUUCGUUAUAAAUACUCAUUUCUUCCUCUUACAAUUCCAUCAUCACUUGUUCAGUUCUCUACUACAAAUACAUUAUACAAAGAAAGGAAAUUCUCUCUGUUUUUCCACAAGCAAAGAGUAUACUAUAAAUGGCCUCAGCUGCUGCAGUAAUGAAUAACUACGGAGAGGAGGACAUUGUUCGACCUGUUGCUGACUUCUCUCCAAGUCUUUGGGGUGAUCGUUUCCAUUCGUUCUCCCUCGACAAUCAGGUAUCUAUUUAUUUUGUACAAGUCUUUCAUUUUCUUUAUCUUGUUGGAUGAAUACGGACAUUCAUUUCUGACUUUGAAUGUAAUGUAACAUACAUUUUAAUUUCUUUUUAAAUAUAUUUGCAGAUUGCUGGAAAAUAUGCUCAAGAGAUCGAUACUUUGAAGGAACAAUCAAGGCUUAUAUUAUCUGCAUCUUAUAUAAGAACAUUGGCUGAGAAAUUGGAUCUGAUAGACAUUGUUGAGCGCCUUGGUAUUGCUUAUCAUUUUGAGAAACAAAUAGACGAUAUGUUGGAUCAAAUUUACAAAGCAGAUCCUAAUUUUGAGGCUCAUGAAUACAAUGAUUUACAAACUUUAUCCGUUCAAUUUCGACUAUUGAGACAACAUGGUUACAAUAUCUCCCCAAGUAGGUCUAUUAUACACAUGUUUUUCGUUUAUUGUUAUAUUUAUGUUUCUAGCUUAAACCAAGGAAUUUUUUAUUAUCUUUUUCACUUUUACUUACUAAAAGUUAAUCUUUUAUUUUUGUUCAUGAUCCAGAACUUUUUAGCAGAUUCCAAGAUGCAAAAGGCAAAUUUAACGAAUCUCUUAGUAACGACAUCAAGGGUCUUUUGAACUUAUACGAAGCCUCACAUGUAAGGACUCAUGGAGAAGAUAUUUUGGAAGAGGCACUUGCUUUCUCUACUGCUCAUCUUGAAUCUGCAGCUCCACAUUUGAAGUCACCUCUGAGUAAGCAAGUCACACAUGCCCUUGAGCAAUCUCUCCAUAAGAGCAUUCCAAGAGUUGAGACACGAUACUUCAUCUCUAUCUACGAAGAGGAGGAACAGAAGAAUGAUGUGCUGCUUCGAUUUGCCAAACUGGACUUCAACUUACUUCAAAUGUUGCACAAACAAGAACUAAGCGAAGUAUCAAGGUACACUAAUAAUUUACAUUAACAAUAUAAAUUACUUGUUACUCGAUAAUAAUUUCUCAAAUCAAUUCUAAAUUUUUAAGAUUGAUUCUUAUUUUAUAGGUGGUGGAAAGAUUUGGAUUUUGUGACAACACUUUCAUAUGCUAGGGAUAGAGCAGUGGAAUGUUACUUUUGGACGAUGGGGGUGUAUGCUGAACCUCAAUACUCUCAGGCUCGUGUCAUGCUUGCUAAGACUAUAGCAAUGAUUUCUAUAGUAGAUGACACAUUCGAUGCUUAUGGCAUUGUAAAAGAACUUGAGAUCUACACCGAUGCCAUACAGAGGUAUGGACUACUUCUCAAACCAUUUUAUCAUUUAAUUGGAAGACCCCAUAAAGGCGGGAAAAGACCAUAUCAAACAACAUAUUUGUGUUCAAUUUCAUAUAUUCCCNNNNNNNNNNNNNNNNNNNNNNNNNNNNNNNNNNNNNNNNNNNNNNNNNNNNNNNNNNNNNNNNNNNNNNNNNNNNNNNNNNNNNNNNNNNNNNNNNNNNNNNNNNNNNNNNNNNNNNNNNNNNNNNNNNNNNNNNNNNNNNNNNNNNNNNNNNNNNNNNNNNNNNNNNNNNNNNNNNNNNNNNNNNNNNNAACCAAUUGUGAAGCUUUUUCUCCCAAUUUUUGUUUGUAAUGAAAUUUAUUCUUUGAAGAAGUACGGACGUUUGAAUUUCUUUUGGUUGUUAUCGACAGAUGAAAGAAAUCGUGAGAAACUAUUUUGUGGAAGCAAAAUGGUUCAUUGAAGGAUAUAUGCCGCCAGUCUCUGAGUAUCUUAGCAAUGCAUUAGCUACCAGCACUUAUUACUUGCUUACGACUACAUCUUAUUUGGGCAUGAAGUCUGCUAACAAGGAAGAUUUUGAAUGGUUGGCCAAGAAUCCUAAAAUUCUUGAGGCUAAUGUGACGUUAUGCCGAGUCAUUGAUGACAUAGCCACCUAUGAGGUUGAGAAGGGUAGAGGUCAGAUUGCAACUGGAAUUGAAUGUUACAUGAGAGAUUAUGGUGUAUCCACAGAAGAGGCCAUGGAAAAAUUCCAAGAAAUGGCUGAGACAGCAUGGAAGGAUGUAAAUGAAGGAAUCCUUCGACCAACUCCCGUCUCUACAGAGAUUCUCACUCGCAUUCUCAAUCUUGCUCGCAUUAUCGAUGUCACUUAUAAGCACAAUCAAGAUGGAUACACUCAUCCGGAAAAAGUACUAAAACCUCAUAUUAUUGCGUUGUUGGUGGACUCUAUUGAAAUUUAAAUCAUCGAUUGUUUUGUACAUCUGGGAGCACUUGCUUCCCAUCCCCUAAAAUUAUAAGUAUUUGAUUGAUGCCUUGUUGGUAUCUAUGCUGCUACCUAAGAUAGGAGUUGCUGGAGAUGCAUGUUAUAGUGCAGUGCAGUUAAUUCCUAAAUUUUUUUUGUAUCAUUAUUGACAUUUUAAAUAUAUAUAUAUAUCACUGCUUUUUAUAGCUACUCUUUUUAGCUAGAGAUUUCAGAUUAAAUCGGUGUCACUUCAGCAGUUGCAACAGAUCCUGAUUAACCGUAAGUAAUGGUGAGUUAAUGUCAAAAUAAGCCCAUGAUAACACAUCAAAAUAUAAAGAGAAGCAAACUCACAAAUAUAAUAAACCUCUUAAAAAUAAUACGAAGUAUCAAUUUCAUACUGGAAGUAAAACAUUAAAAUCGCCAUAAUCUCAAACACAAUUCUACUUAUAAGGCAAAAUGUGAUAAUAUUCCUGCCAUCUUUGAGAAAAAAAUGAAAAGUUCUUUUCUUGAAAAUUUCUAAUGGCUGCUUUAUGAUGGAGUAAGGACUAGAGAGUAGAAGUAGUAUGAGUGGUCAUAUUACACUGAUCUGCAGUGGGUGUUUACACCAGAUUAUAAAGCCUCUCAAACACUGCUGUCUGGCGGACAGUCCUCAACGACCCUUCGUAAGGUCUAGCUGAUCGAACUAUCAGAAAAUCCAGAGUCAGCU